GUAAUUAUUAAUUUAAUUUUGAAUUUUUAGUUUGGUGAUUCAGGAUUACAAUUAAUAUCUGAACAUUUGCACCAACUUCAAGUUCUGAAUUUAUGUGAAACACCUGUUACAGAUAAAGGAUUAAUUUCAUUAUCAGCAAUGAAAGGUUUAAGAAAACUCAAUCUGAAUAGCACAGGUUUAUCAGCACACACAUUUGAAGGAUUGAAGCAAAAUCUGCCGUUGUUAGAGGAAUACGAUAUAUGUUACACAGAUGCCUGGUGAUGAAAUAAGAAAAUAUUCUGUUUUUAAUUAAGACUGCAAGUAUAUUCAUUAGCUGCUACAGUUUAAUUGACUGACAACAUUCCUUUUUUGUGUCAUCUCAUCUCAUUGACAAAAGUUUAACAUUUCUAUAAAUAUUUAUCAUAUUCAUCUUCAUUGACUUGCUGGACAAGUGACUGAAAAAAAAA
Molecule: long non-coding RNA, 446 nt
Organism: Centruroides sculpturatus (bark scorpion)
Lineage: Eukaryota; Metazoa; Arthropoda; Arachnida; Scorpiones; Buthidae
Exons: 3
Source: RefSeq, a predicted model, not a curated record